UUUCUGCUCAGAUUGAACGCUGGCGGCGUGCUUAACACAUGCAAGUCGAGCGAGAAAGUUCUCUUCGGAGAAUGAGUAGAGCGGCGCACGGGUGAGUAACGCGUGGAUAAUCUACCCUGAAGAUCGGGAUAACAGUUGGAAACGACUGCUAAUACCGGAUAUCCUGCAUAUUUAGCUUUAUGUGGUAAAGGCGGCCUCUAUUUAUAAGCUGCCGCUUUGGGAUGAGUCCGCGUCUCAUUAGCUUGUUGGUGGGGUAAUGGCCUACCAAGGCAACGAUGAGUAGCUGGUCUGAGAGGAUGAUCAGCCACACUGGGACUGAAACACGGCCCAGACUCCUACGGGAGGCAGCAGUGGGGAAUAUUGCGCAAUGGGGGAAACCCUGACGCAGCGACGCCGCGUGCGGGAAGAAGGCCUUCGGGUCGUAAACCGCUGUCAGGAGGGAAGAAACUGUUAGGGUAUAAUACGCCCUUUCACUGACGGUACCUCCAAAGGAAGCACCGGCUAACUCCGUGCCAGCAGCCGCGGUAAUACGGAGGGUGCGAGCGUUAAUCGGAAUCACUGGGCGUAAAGCGCACGUAGGCGGCGCAUCAAGUCAGGCGUGAAAGCCCUCGGCUCAACCGAGGAAUUGCGCUUGAAACUGGUGUGCUGGAGUCUCGGAGAGGUUGGCGGAAUUCCAGGUGUAGGAGUGAAAUCCGUAGAUAUCUGGAGGAACACCGGUGGCGAAGGCGGCCAACUGGACGAGUACUGACGCUGAGGUGCGAAAGCGUGGGGAGCAAACAGGAUUAGAUACCCUGGUAGUCCACGCUGUAAACGAUGGAUAUUAGGUGUCGGGGGUUACCUUCGGUGCCGCAGUUAACGCGUUAAAUUCCCG
This 871-nucleotide ribosomal RNA is filed under the name bacterium 060620-Aspo-KJ0052F01-K0-SRB3. RNAcentral's name for it is "bacterial SSU rRNA". It matches the Rfam family "Bacterial small subunit ribosomal RNA", at positions 17 to 871 of the family's 1533-position model. The record is from RNAcentral.